Rosa chinensis is the source of this 983-nucleotide long non-coding RNA. RefSeq lists it as uncharacterized. The transcript is spliced from 3 exons. The record is from RefSeq and is a predicted model, not a curated record. Lineage: Eukaryota; Viridiplantae; Streptophyta; Magnoliopsida; Rosales; Rosaceae.
UUUCAGGUUUGAAGAUUUUAAUGAAAUCGGUAGAAUGAGGAAGCCACUCAAGAACAUGACGUGAAGGAGAAAGAUGUUUCUGGUUCAGAGGAGGAAGAGGACUUGCCUGGUAUCGAGCCAAUUGCUGCAGUACCCCCGUUGGGAGAGGCCAGCCGUGAUUAUCGAAAGUGCCUAUACAUAUGGGGAGCUCGAGGAGGAGGAGAUUGAUCGCUCCAAGGUCCUCUAUAUAUGUAGCUAGGUACCUUGCCUCACAACCAAGAGGAAGUCGGCUGAGCAUCACACUAUCAACCUCAUCAACCUGUCCGAUUGGAUCUCACAGCCCUCUAGUCACUAUUCUCCCUUUCCAUUACACCAAGUGGCUUGUCAAGAGGUGACCGAUUCCCCCAAUUACACGUCAUGUGGUGUGUAUGGAUGCCAAAUUUUCUUCAACAGCAGCCCAAAUAUUUAUGUGCAUGAUACUGAUACUAAUCAUGAUGGUCCCGACUUUGCUGGUUUCACCAAGAUGAGUCCUAGUUUCCUACAACGGAAAGUUAGGCUGCUGGUGGCGGAGCUCGCGGGGAAACUCUACGCCCUUGAUCUUACUCCAACUAAGAUAAUUAAUACUUUUGAGGUGUAUGACCCUAAAAAGGGCAUAUGCAUGGUCACCAUUGCCAUUAUCUCCGGUCCUUAAGAAAGGUUUACUUAUACAAUACCCCUGCUUUGCAGUCACCGGGACUAAGAUUUAUUACACCGUUGGAGAAACCCCUGCAGAGAAUCCGGUUCCGAAUGCCAUGGUUUUGUGCUUUGAUGUAUCUGACCCGAAUAAAGAGUGGAGACAAAUUCCUGCAUUGUUUUGGUUGAAACUAUACCCUCCAGAUGCUGAGUCCCCCUGCCCUUGUAUCUCAUAUGAUGGCAAGCUUUGAUUAUGGAACUGAAUGUUGGGAAUGAUGAUUUGAAAUUAAUGCUCGCAUAUUCAUGUGGAUCAGAGGUGGUAAUUUUACCUA